This 442-nucleotide ribosomal RNA is filed under the name uncultured bacterium. Its description in RNAcentral is "partial 16S ribosomal RNA". It matches the Rfam family "Bacterial small subunit ribosomal RNA", at positions 338 to 795 of the family's 1533-position model. The record is from RNAcentral.
CCUACGGGUGGCAGCAGUGGGGAAUAUUGCGCAAUGGACGCAAGUCUGACCCAGCAACGCCGCGUGAAGGAAGAAGGCUUUCGGGUUGUAAACUUCUUUUAAGGGGGAAGAGCAGGAGACGGUACCACUUGAAUAAGCCACGGCUAACUACGUGACAGCAGCCGCGGUAAUACGGAGGUGGCAAGCGUUGUCCGUAUGUACUGGGUGUAAAGGGCGUGCAGCCGGGAAGACAAGUCAGAUGUGAAAUCCCGCGGCUCAACCGCGGAACUGCAUUUGAAACUGUUUUUCUUGAGUAUCGGAGAGGUGAGCGGAAUUCCAAGUGUAGCGGUGAAAUGCGUAGAUAUGAGGAAGAACACCAGUGGCGAAGGCGGAUGACUGGACGACAACUGACGGUGAGGCGCGAAAGCGUGGGGAGCAAACAGGAUUAGAUACCCGUGUAGUC